RNAcentral lists this ribosomal RNA (253 nucleotides) under uncultured bacterium. RNAcentral's name for it is "partial 16S ribosomal RNA". It matches the Rfam family "Bacterial small subunit ribosomal RNA", at positions 524 to 776 of the family's 1533-position model. The record is from RNAcentral.
GACAGAGGGUGCAACCGUUGCUCGGAAUCACUGGGCGUAAAGGGCGUGUAGGCGGGAAGGCAAGUCAGAUGUGAAAUCCCUGGGCUCAACCCAGGAACUGCAUUUGAAACUCCCUUUCUUGAGUGUCGGAGAGGAAAGUGGAAUUCCAGGUGUAGCGGUGAAAUGCGUAGAUAUCUGGAGGAACACCGGUGGCGAAGGCGACAUCCUGGACCGGUAUUGACGCUGAGGCGCGAAAGCCAGGGGAGCAAACGGG